GCGUCCAUAGCUCAGCUGGAUAGAGCGCCGGACUUCGAAUCCGUAGGUCGCAGGUUCGAAUCCUGCUGGACGUA
RNAcentral lists this transfer RNA (74 nucleotides) under Pseudomonadota bacterium. Its description in RNAcentral is "Proteobacteria bacterium tRNA-Arg". It matches the Rfam family "tRNA". From Rfam's summary of the family: Transfer RNA (tRNA) molecules are approximately 80 nucleotides in length. Their secondary structure includes four short double-helical elements and three loops (D, anti-codon, and T loops). RNAcentral also lists the same sequence under 3 other names. Lineage: Bacteria; Pseudomonadati; Pseudomonadota. The record is from RNAcentral.